This 636-nucleotide ribosomal RNA is filed under the name Proteus mirabilis. RNAcentral's name for it is "partial 23S ribosomal RNA". It matches the Rfam family "Bacterial large subunit ribosomal RNA", at positions 2285 to 2915 of the family's 2925-position model. Lineage: Bacteria; Pseudomonadati; Pseudomonadota; Gammaproteobacteria; Enterobacterales; Morganellaceae. The record is from RNAcentral.
UCCUCCUAAAGAGUAACGGAGGAGCACGAAGGUUGGCUAAGCAUGGUCGGACAUCAUGCGGUUAGUGCAAAGGCAUAAGCCAGCUUGACUGCGAGAGUGACGGCUCGAGCAGGUACGAAAGUAGGUCUUAGUGAUCCGGUGGUUCUGAAUGGAAGGGCCAUCGCUCAACGGAUAAAAGGUACUCCGGGGAUAACAGGCUGAUACCGCCCAAGAGUUCAUAUCGACGGCGGUGUUUGGCACCUCGAUGUCGGCUCAUCACAUCCUGGGGCUGAAGUAGGUCCCAAGGGUAUGGCUGUUCGCCAUUUAAAGUGGUACGCGAGCUGGGUUUAGAACGUCGUGAGACAGUUCGGUCCCUAUCUGCCGUGGGCGUUGGAAGAUUGAGAGGGGUUGCUCCUAGUACGAGAGGACCGGAGUGAACGCACCACUGGUGUUCGGGUUGUCAUGCCAAUGGCAUUGCCCGGUAGCUAAGUGCGGAAGAGAUAACCGCUGAAAGCAUCUAAGCGGGAAACUUGCCUCGAGAUGAGUCUUCCCUGUCGCUUUAAGCGACCUAAAGGAACGUUUAAGACUAAGACGUUGAUAGGCUGGGUGUGUAAGCGUAGCGAUACGUUGAGCUAACCAGUACUAAUGAACCGUGAG